Molecule: ribosomal RNA, 492 nt
Filed under: uncultured bacterium
Lineage: Bacteria
Description: partial 16S ribosomal RNA
Rfam family: Bacterial small subunit ribosomal RNA
Source: RNAcentral
AGUGAACGCUGGCGGUAGGCCUAACACAUGCAAGUCGAACGGCAGCACUGUAAGGGCUUGCUCUUACGGGUGGCGAGUGGCGGACGGGUGAGGAAUACAUCGGAAUCUACUUUUUCGUGGGGGAUAACGUAGGGAAACUUACGCUAAUACCGCAUACGACCUACGGGUGAAAGCAGGGGAUCUUCGGACCUUGCGCGAUUGAAUGAGCCGAUGUCGGAUUAGCUAGUUGGCGGGGUAAAGGCCCACCAAGGCGACGAUCCGUAGCUGGUCUGAGAGGAUGAUCAGCCACACUGGAACUGAGACACGGUCCAGACUCCUACGGGAGGCAGCAGUGGGGAAUAUUGGACAAUGGGCGCAAGCCUGAUCCAGCCAUACCGCGUGGGUGAAGAAGGCCUUCGGGUUGUAAAGCCCUUUUGUUGGGAAAGAAAAGCAGCAGGUUAAUACCCCGCUGUUCUGACGGUACCCAAAGAAUAAGCACCGGCUAACUUCGUG